GAUGAACGCCGGCGGCGUGCUUAACACAUGCAAGUCGAACGAUGAAGCCCAGCUUGCUGGGUGGAUUAGUGGCGAACGGGUGAGUAACACGUGAGUAACCUGCCCUUAACUCUGGGAUAAGCCUGGGAAACUGGGUCUAAUACCGGAUAGGAGCGCCUACCGCAUGGUGGGUGUUGGAAAGAUUUAUCGGUUUUGGAUGGACUCGCGGCCUAUCAGCUUGUUGGUGAGGUAAUGGCUCACCAAGGCGACGACGGGUAGCCGGCCUGAGAGGGUGACCGGCCACACUGGGACUGAGACACGGCCCAGACUCCUACGGGAGGCAGCAGUGGGGAAUAUUGCACAAUGGGCGAAAGCCUGAUGCAGCGACGCCGCGUGAGGGAUGACGGCCUUCGGGUUGUAAACCUCUUUCAGUAGGGAAGAAGCGAAAGUGACGGUACCUGCAGAAGAAGCACCGGCUAACUACGUG
Molecule: ribosomal RNA, 466 nt
Filed under: uncultured bacterium
Lineage: Bacteria
Description: partial 16S ribosomal RNA
Rfam family: Bacterial small subunit ribosomal RNA
Source: RNAcentral